UGGCUUAGAAGCAGCCACUCAUUAAAAGAGUGCGUAAUAGCUCACUGGUCGAGUGACUCUGCGCCGAAAAUUUAACGGGGCUAAACUAUACACCGAAGCUUGGGAUACAUCUAAUGUAUGGUAGGAGAGCGUUCUGUAUGGGGUGAAGUCGUAGCGAAAGCGGCGGUGGACUAUACAGAAGUGAGAAUGCCGGAAUAAGUAGCGAGAAUUAAGUGAGAAUCUUAAUGGCCGAAAGUCUAAGGUUUUUGGAGGAAGGUUCGUCCGCUCCAAGUAAGUCGGGAGCUAAGGUCAGGCCGAAAGGCGUAGCCGAUGCACAUACGGUUGAUAUUCCGUAACCAUCUGUAAUUUAAGCAAAGGGACACUUUAAAAGGGUGUGACCCGGGCGUUGGUUGACCCGGGCGUAAGGGACCGAAAUUAGAGUAGGGAAGCACACUUAGCUGAAGGCGAGAAAAGCUUUGCGUAUAGAAACAGAUGCCCGUACCGCAAACCGACACAGGUGGACAGGAAGAGAAUUCUAAGGCCAGCGGGAGAAGGGUAGUUAAGGAACUCGGCAAAUUGACUCCGUAACUUCGGAAUAAGGAGUGCUCGAAAGAGCCGCAGAGAAUAGGCCCAGGCGACUGUUUAGCAAAAACACAGGUCUCUGCCAAAUCGAAAGAUGAAGUAUAGGGGCUGACACCUGCCCGGUGCCGGAAGGUUAAGAGGAGGAGUGAGAGCUCCGAAUUGAAGCCCCGGUAAACGGCGGCCGUAACUAUAACGGUCCUAAGGUAGCGAAAUUCCUUGUCGGGUAAGUUCCGACCCGCACGAAUGGUGUAACGAUCUGGGCACUGUCUCAACUACCCACCCGGCGAAAUUGUAGUACCGGUGAAGAUGCCGGUUACCUGCGGCAAGACGGAAAGACCCCAUGGAGCUUUACUGUAGCCUGAUAUUGGGUUUCGGAAAUCUAUGUACAGGAUAGGCGGGAGACUUGGAAACAUGAGCGUCAGCUUGUGUGGAGUCGAUGUUGGGAUACCGCCCUUAGGUUUCUGGAAUUCUAACCUGCGGCCGUGAAUCCGGUCGGGGGACAUUGUCAGGUGGGCAGUUUGACUGGGGCGGUCGCCUCCGAAAAGGUAACGGAGGCGCUCAAAGGUUAGCUCAGCACGGACGGAAACCGUACUCGCCCAGGCUGAGCCCUGCGGUCACGGAAGGCCGGACGCCCUUCUCCUGUAAUACCUCCGUCACGCCGGUGGCAAAGGCCACCAUACAGGGCUGGGUGUACUGGGUUUGAUUCAGAGUCUCGUCCGGGCCCUCAAAACAGACCUUUUCCAGAUCGAAAUCCACUUUGGCGCUUUCAAAUACAGAGCGAAAGGCGGGAUAGGUCUCAUAGAGAUCCCGCCCCAUCCCCGGGUGCUGGGUGCCCUGUCCCGCAUACAGAAAAGCCACUUUCAUGAGAAAACCUCCUGUUCCAAUUCCCGCAGGUGGGCGCCGCAGCCGCCACACAGCUCCUCCAGGAUGGCCCGCAAAGGGCGGAUCUCCCGAAGCAUGCCGGACACCUGUCCCGCCAUCAGGCUGCCGUUUUUCAC
RNAcentral lists this ribosomal RNA (1559 nucleotides) under human gut metagenome. RNAcentral's name for it is "bacterial LSU rRNA". It matches the Rfam family "Bacterial large subunit ribosomal RNA", at positions 1102 to 2360 of the family's 2925-position model. The record is from RNAcentral.